Molecule: long non-coding RNA, 757 nt
Organism: Papaver somniferum (opium poppy)
Lineage: Eukaryota; Viridiplantae; Streptophyta; Magnoliopsida; Ranunculales; Papaveraceae
Exons: 3
Source: RefSeq, a predicted model, not a curated record
UCCUUCUCGGUCUCUCUUUCUUUGUAAAACUAUUCUUAUUCUUAUAUCAUUCCAACAAAAUAAUCUUUAUCAAUCAGAAUGAGAAAUUGGUUUCAAAAAAUGUAAAAAUUUUAAGAAAAAUGUUUUUGAAGAUCAUCCAUUCUUCAUCUUUCUAGCUGCAAAGUUUCCUCAAAAUAGUCUACGAACAUAUAUUUAUUCCCAAGGAGAUUUCUGCAGCGUUUCCUUUCUAAGCAUAUAUUUUUCUAAAGUUCUUUGUUCUUUGGGUUUUACAUAUGGAAACUCCAAUGUUAUUUUUGGCUAUUUUUUUUUUUUUUGGGAUUUACAUAUUACAAAUCCCAAGGUUGAUUAAGGUUGGCUUAUUCGAUUGCAAUUGUUUUUGGAGUUUUACAUAUUACAACUCCCAAGAUUAUUGAAGAUUGGCACUUUUUUCUUUUUUUGAAGACAUGGUUAAAAGUUAUUGUAGCAUUUAUAUUUCAAUUUUUUUUGUUUGUAAUGCUAACAUUUAAUGGUUGUAACGUUUAUUUGAAGAGGAAGUAAUUAAGAGGGCUAUAGGGGGGUACAAACACCACAGCCGCUAGAUGUCUUUUGCUAGGAUGAGACCGGGGUGGUCGGAUCACAUGUUUGUCUCUCAAAAUGUUAUCUGACCGUCCAAGGCUCAAAAACUUAUGCUGUUUUGUAUUAUAGAUUAUCAAUUCAUUAGUGUUAAUAAUUGAUUAACUAAAUGAGAAAGUUAUUUUGAUAUCAAAAUUUAAAUAUA